UUUUUUCUUUUUUUCUUUUUUUAUUUUCUUUGUUCUUUUAUAUUACAACUCGUUACGCGUUGUAAAUUUGUAACUUUAAUGUAACACAUAUAUAGAUCAAAAUUUUUAAGGAAAGAAAAAAAAAAAUACAAAAUAUAAAAUAAUGCACAUAUAUGUAAUAUAUAUAUAGAGUCAAUUAUAAAAAAAGGAUAAUUAAUAAGCAUAUAUUUUCAUAUAUAUAUAUAUAUAUAUAUAUAUAUAUAUAUAUAUAUAUAUGUAUAUAUGUGCAUAUGUAAUAUUAUUUGUAUGUACAGAUAAAAAUCCUUAAAAAAAAAUGCAUUUACGCAUAUAUAUAUAUAUAUAUAUAUAUAUAUAUAUAUAUUUAUUUAUUUAUUUAUUUAUUUAUUUAUUUAUAUAUUUAUAUAUUUAUAUUUAUGUACUUAUUUAUUUUGCAUAAUAUGAAUUAUAUUUUAUUCUAUAUAAACUUAUAUGUAACUAUUUGUUCUUAAUAAUAUGUAAAAUAUAAGUCGUUUUCUUUACAACAAUUUUAUAACAUGGCUUAUUAAUAAUUUAUAUAUAAUAAUUAAUAACAGAUAUUUAAAUAUAUAAUAAGUAUAUGAAUGAAAUCUUUUUUUUUCAUUAAAUAUAAUAUAUAUAUAUGUAUUAUAUACAUAGAACAGUGCUAUUUUAUUUUACUUAAUAUUUUUUUGUAUUUUAUAUGUAUAAUUCUAGAAUAUAUUUAGAAUAUAAAAAGAAAAAUAAAAUAAUUUCAUAAGUCUCUCUAUAUAUAUAUAUAUAUAUAUAUUCAUAAUUAAUAAUAUUACACUGAUAUAUAAAUAAUAUUAAUAUAUUUAAUAUUAACAUUAUCUGUAUGUAUAUCCUUUUUAUUAUGUAGAUUAAAAUGUCACACGCUCUUACUAUAUGUAAAAAAAAAAAAAAAAAUAAUAAAAAGAAUUAUAAAGUAAUAAAAUAUAUAUCUCUUUCAGUUUGUAUCUACAUAUAUUAAGCUGUCAUAAAAAUAGUAUAUAAAUAAUACAUUCAUAAUUUAUUAAUAUAUUUUAUUAAAUUUUUGAUGCAUAUUAUAAUUAGGUGACAGAUAUGUAAAUAUUAAAAAUACGUUCAUUUCAAAAGGGAAAAGAAAAUAUGCAUUUUAUGUAAUAUGUAAUUUCUAAAUAUUUAUUUAUUUUUAUAUUUUAUAUAAAAUGUAUUUAUUAUAAUAAAGCAUAUAAUAUUAAUAACAUGAGCAUAAAUGUACUAUAAAUAUAUAAUAAUAUAAAUGUAUGUAUAAUUUUUCUUUUUAUAUGUAUGUGUUAUAUAAUGAUCGGGGUAAUAAACUAUAAGACAAAAAAUUGUAUUAUCAUAUUUAUAUAUAUUUAAUAAAAAUAUUUUUUAUAUACAAAAGGAUUUAUCAAAAUAUUAUAUAUGUAUUUAUAUAUUUAUUUAUUUUUAUUUCUUUUCUUUUUUGUAAUAUUAUGUUACUAUAUGUAUAAUGUAAUAAUAUAUAUAUAUAUAUAUAUAUAUAUAUAUAUUUAUUUAAAAAAGUAUAUAAUUUUCAGUAUAUAUAUAUAUAUAAAAACACAAUUUAGAAAAUUAUUUUAUAUAACAAGUGUGCAAAAAUGUAAAAAUGUAAAAAUAUAGAAGAAUAAAAAAAUAAACAUAUUUCAUUCCACAAUUUUUUUUUAUUUUAAAUUUAAAUAGUAAAAAAAAAAAAUGAAAUAAGACAAUAUCCAAUUAUAUACUUUAAAAUAGUUCUACACAUAUAAGUAAAAAAAAGUACAUAACAAUAAAAAUAGGCAAUAUCACGGUUCAAAAUAUAUUCAAAAAAAAAAAAAUAAACAGUAUUUUAUUAUAUAACAAAGAAUUAUCACGAGGACAAAAUUUUAUUUAUAAAAAAAUAAUAUUAUAAAUAUAUUUAUAAAUGUAUACAUAUUCAUUUAAAUAUUUAUUAAAUAUAUAAAAUGAUAAAGACAAUAUAAGAUACGUCACAUAUUUCAAUCUUGCACUAUAUAAAUAUGAAUUAAUAUAUUAAUAUGUAUAAAUAUAUAUAAGCAUACAAUAAUAUAUAUUUUAUUAUUGACAGAUAAAUAAAUAUAAAUAUAUAUAUGUAUAACUUUGAAUAUAUAUAUAAAAACAAGACAUUAAAUUAAAAUAAUUUUAAAUAAAAAUAUUCCAUGUAAUUAUACAUUUGUGUAUAUGUAAAUUUUACUAUACAUUUAUAUAUAUAUAUAUAUAUAUAUAAGUUCAUUUAAAUUAUUAUCUUUUUUUUUUUUUUCAAUCUUUAUAAUUUGAAUAAAAUACUUAUAAAAUAUUUAUGUAUCUUAAAAAAAAGGAAACAUAUAAAAUAAACAAGUACAAAAUAUUAUAUUUCUUUUAGAUAUAUAUAUUUUUUUAUUUUUUGCGUAUGUUCUUUGUUAUAUAUUUAGAUAAAGCAAAUUCAUUUGUAUUCUUAUGUAUCAUAUAAAUAUUAAAUAAUGUAUAUUUAAAAAAAAAAAAAAAAAAAAUCCAUAAAUAUAUGUAUAAAUAUAUAUAUAAUGUAAAUAUUUCGCAAUAUUUCAAAGUACAGAUUCAGGUAUACACAGUUGCCAAUAGAAGGAAAAAAAAAAAAAAAAAUUAAAAAAUUAAAUUAUAUAUAUUUUCUAAUUACAUAAAUUAAAUUACUUUUAUAUUGAAUGAAAUAUAUGUGUAUUCUUAUAUAAUAAAGGAAAAGAAAAAAAAAAAAAAAACGUAAUUAAGACAUAUAUAUAUAUAUAUAUAUAUAUAUAUUUUGGUACAUAAAAAACAAGGCAAAUAUUUGAUACCAUUUAAAAGUAGUAUAUGUAGAAUUUUUUAAAGAAUAAAAAAAAUUAAUAAAAAAUUAUUAUAUGCUAUAUGCAACUAUUUUAUUAUUUUAUUGUAUAUACGAUACAUAUCUGUGCGUAUUUAUAUAUAUGAGACAAAUAUAAAAUUACAUAAACAUAUUAUACAUAUAUAUAUAUAUAUAAUAAUAAAUGUUCACAUUUUUUUUUUUUUUUUUUUCUUUCUUUUUAUUAAAUUAUAAUAUAAAUAUAUAAACGCAUAAACUAUUCUUACGCUCUAGAAAAUUACAAAAUAUAUUUAAAAAAAGCUUUUGAUGAAUAUUUAUUUUUAUGUGUGAUUAUAUAUAUAUAUAUAUAUAUAUUAACACAUGUUAUGUAUAUAUAGUAUAGAGCAUAUUAUAAAGGUCAUAUACAUUUCUUUACGAAUAUCAAAAAUGCCAUUUCAAAAUUCUUAUUAAAAAAUUAUACUUGUUCUAUAAAGAAAAUAAUAAAAUACUACAAAUAAUAUCAUUAAUGUGGAAAGGUUAGUAUUACAUAUUAUGUAUAAAAUGUUUAUAUAUAUAUAUAUAUAUAUAUAUUACUUGGUUUUAUAUAUAUAUAUUAAGGUUUUAAUAUUUUUCUAUAAAAUAUAAAUACCAUUUUUCAAAAAUAACUAUAAGUUUUAUAUAAAUAAAUAACAUAUUAUAUUAUGUAAUGAAUA
Molecule: non-coding RNA, 3474 nt
Organism: Plasmodium billcollinsi
Lineage: Eukaryota; Apicomplexa; Aconoidasida; Haemosporida; Plasmodiidae
Source: the annotation of a GenBank genome assembly